UUUGUAGAAUGAACCGGCGAGUUACGAUUUGUUGCAAGGUUAAGCGGAAAAAGCGGAGCCGUAGCGAAAGCGAGUCUGAAUAGGGCGCAUAAGUAACAGGUCGUAGACCCGAAACCAGGUGAUCUACCCAUGUCCAGGAUGAAGGUAAGGUAAUACUUACUGGAGGUCCGAACCCACGCACGUUGAAAAGUGCGGGGAUGAGGUGUGGGUAGCGGAGAAAUUCCAAUCGAACUUGGAGAUAGCUGGUUCUCUCCGAAAUAGCUUUAGGGCUAGCCUCGAGGUAAAGAGUCAUGGAGGUAGAGCACUGUUUGGACUAGGGGCCCUUCUCGGGUUACCGAAUUCAGAUAAACUCCGAAUGCCAUGUACUUAUACUCGGGAGUCAGACUGCGAGUGAUAAGAUCCGUAGUCGAAAGGGAAACAGCCCAGACCACCAGUUAAGGUCCCCAAAUAUAUGUUAAGUGGAAAAGGAUGUGGGGUUGCUUAGACAACCAGGAUGUUGGCUUAGAAGCAGCCACCAUUGAAAGAGUGCGUAAUAGCUCACUGGUCGAGUGACCCCGCGCCGAAAAUGUACCGGGGCUAAACAUAUUACCGAAACUGUGGAUGAACCUCUUUAGAGGUUCGUGGUAGGAGAGCGUUCUAAGGGCGGUGAAGUCAGACCGGAAGGACUGGUGGAGCGCUUAGAAGUGAGAAUGCCGGUAUGAGUAGCGAAAGAAGGGUGAGAAUCCCUUCCACCGAAUAUCUAAGGUUUCCUGAGGAAGGCUCGUCCGCUCAGGGUUAGUCGGGACCUAAGCCGAGGCCGAUAGGCGUAGGCGAUGGACAACAGGUAGAGAUUCCUGUACCAGUGCUAAUUGUUUAACCGAUGGGGUGACACAGAAGGAUAGGGAAUCGCACGAAUGGAAAUGUGCGUCCAAGCAGUGAGUGUGAGAAGUAGGCAAAUCCGCUUCUCACGAAGCAUGAGCUGUGAUGGGGAAGGAAAUUAAGUACGGAAGUUCCUGAUUUCACGCUGUCAAGAAAAGCCUCUAGGAAGAGUAGUACUGCCCGUACCGCAAACCGACACAGGUAGAUGAGGAGAGAAUCCUAAGGUGAGCGAGAGAACUCUCGUUAAGGAACUCGGCAAAAUGACCCCGUAACUUCGGGAGAAGGGGUGCUCUAUUAGGGUGCAAGCCCGAGAGAGCCGCAGUGAAUAGGCCCAGGCGACUGUUUAGCAAAAACACAGGUCUCUGCAAAACCGUAAGGUGACGUAUAGGGGCUGACGCCUGCCCGGUGCUGGAAGGUUAAGAGGAGUGCUUAGCUUCGGCGAAGGUACGAAUUGAAGCCCCAGUAAACGGCGGCCGUAACUAUAACGGUCCUAAGGUAGCGAAAUUCCUUGUCGGGUAAGUUCCGACCCGCACGAAAGGCGCAACGAUCUGGGCACUGUCUCAACGAGAGACUCGGUGAAAUUAUAGUACCUGUGAAGAUGCAGGUUACCCGCGACAGGACGGAAAGACCCCGUGGAGCUUUACUGCAACCUGAUAUGGAAUGUUUGUACCGCUUGUACAGGAUAGGUAGGAGCCGAAGAGACGUGUGCGCUAGCAUACGAGGAGGCAAUGGUGGGAUACUACCCUGGCUGUAUGACCAUUCUAACCCGCCACGCUUAGCGCGUGGGGAGACAGUGUCAGGUGGGCAGUUUGACUGGGGCGGUCGCCUCCUAAAGAGUAACGGAGGCGCCCAAAGGUUCCCUCAGAAUGGAUGGAAAUCAUUCGCAGAGUGUAAAGGCACAAGGGAGCUUGACUGCGAGACUGACAAGUCGAGCAGGGACGAAAGUCGGGCUUAGUGAUCCGGUGGUUCCGCAUGGAAGGGCCAUCGCUCAACGGAUAAAAGCUACCCCGGGGAUAACAGGCUUAUCUCCCCCAAGAGUCCACAUCGACGGGGAGGUUUGGCACCUCGAUGUCGGCUCGUCGCAUCCUGGGGCUGUAGUCGGUCCCAAGGGUUGGGCUGUUCGCCCAUUAAAGCGGCACGCGAGCUGGGUUCAGAACGUCGUGAGACAGUUCGGUCCCUAUCCGUCGCGGGCGCAGGAAAUUUGAGAGGAGCUGUCCUUAGUACGAGAGGACCGGGAUGGACACACCGCUGGUGUACCAGUUGUUCCGCCAGGAGCAUCGCUGGGUAGCUAUGUGUGGCAGGGAUAAACGCUGAAAGCAUCUAAGCGUGAAGCCCCCCUCAAGAUGAGAUUUCCCAUUUCUUCGGAAAGUAAGAUCCCUGAAAGAUGAUCAGGUAGAUAGGUUUGGAGUGGAAGUGUAGCGAUACAUGGAGCGGACAAAUACUAAUCGAUCGAGGACUUAACCAA
Molecule: ribosomal RNA, 2323 nt
Filed under: Listeria monocytogenes
Lineage: Bacteria; Bacillati; Bacillota; Bacilli; Caryophanales; Listeriaceae
Description: partial 23S ribosomal RNA
Rfam family: Bacterial large subunit ribosomal RNA
Source: RNAcentral